RNAcentral lists this long non-coding RNA (7302 nucleotides) under Homo sapiens (human). RNAcentral describes it as "non-protein coding LINC01170:9". Lineage: Eukaryota; Metazoa; Chordata; Mammalia; Primates; Hominidae. The record is from RNAcentral.
CCUUCCACCGCAGGGCUGCCCCAUGGCAGCCAGUGACACCGCUGAGACAACUUUGCCGUGGCCUUACUUUCAUUUCCUUGGUUGUUCAGUUUAUGGCAAAAGACCCUCAGCUGUGUUUUGUUUACUAAUUCCCCUAAGCCUGCCUUAAAUCCAGACUGCCAGGGCCACAGGAAAUCUUUCAGACCCCUGACAGCCCCUCUUACAGAACAGUUUCCCAAGCAGCAGCCUGCCUGAUCCACCCUUAAUUCAGCUGUGCGUCUGACAACAUGUUCUACAGGAAAGAUAACCUUGUACAUCAGGUGUUUCCUGUUUCCAGUACCAAAAGUCAGACAAGAAGGCUCACUUUCUCCAGGAAUCUCCUAGUGCCAGGUUCUGGGCUGUGGACACCAUGCUGGCCAGAGGAAGCUGCUGCACAGUGUCUUCCUUUGGCUUUGGUAUCAAGGUAAUGCUGGCCUCAUAAGGCAGAAUCAUAAUUCUCUACCAGCUGCUUAUUUUAGAGUCAUCUGGGUCUGGGGAUGGUUCUGGACAAAAAUACAAAUUUGGAGACCCAUCACUGGUUUGUAGGAUCAGUGAGAUCAUGAAAACUAGAAGUAAUUUCAACGCGACUUUUUUUAUUUACUUUGGAAAUGGUUCAGUUGGACACAUGAGUGAUAAGAGGUGGACAUUUCAAGUUCAAUUGUGUUUGAUGACUCAUUAGGUUAAAGAAGCUGUCAGGUGGUAAAGUCACCCCAGGUUGUUAAUAAAUAUACCAGAGAAUAAUGGUCCUGCUAUUGAUGGAUCCCAAGGGAGAAUUCCUAUUAAUCACUUCAAUCUUAGGGUGAGCCAUUUAUUCUUACUCUUUGUAUUUUCCCCAUUAAUGAAUGAUUCCCCUUUCCAUGUGCAGUUUUAAGUAUUCACACUGUAGUAGUUUAUUUUUAUUAUCUUCUUAGCAUUUCUCAUGAAACAGAGAUCCCAUAAUUGAUGUGUAUCUUGGACUCUGAAACUCUGCCUGUGUAUAAUGAAGGGAUUGGCCUGGAUGACCUCCUUCCUCUAUCAUUCUAGAAUCUCUCUUUGUCCCAACUUGAAACCAAACAGGUGCCAGGGUCUGUCGCAGAGAAGAAUAAUUAGCACAUCCAUUAACAUGGGCCCUGUUAACACAUCCAGUGUUGACUCUAAUUACUGGUAGAUUUUAACUGAGCUCUGCUGUCUAUAAGUGACUGUUAGCAAAUGAUAGUAUAUUUGAUUUGACAUACAUCAUACGUACUGAAUAGUAAGCUUCAGUCAACUUUUACACAAGUACUCGUAAAGAAGCUGAAGAUUUUAAGCUAACAGAUUAAAAGUGGGAACAAAUGAUAUAAGUGCAAGAGCAUGAAAUUAAAGCAAUUAUUGUUGUUUUUGAUGCUUCAAAAUGUGGGAUUUAUAUGUAGUCCUUUACUUUUUAUAGUGUUUAUGAAAGUGGUUCAAUGUGUCUUCUUUUAAGAGAUCAUAUAUCCUAGUAUUAGUAACAUGAAUCUAUAGGCUUGUCAAAUAUAUAUGUUAAUAAAAAAAUUUAAAACCACUUUUUCUGCAUCAAUUCCAGAAAGUAUAUGUACAUUUCUGCCAUCACACGAAAUCCGAUUGUUGCCAGAUGGCACAAUCGGGUUCCGUGUGAUGGCAAUGCCAUGCGUCUCCCCUGCAGAGAGGCUGCUGCUUGCUGAGCCCUGGUGUGAUAAGGGGCAUAAAUCACAAAUCGUGUCACCCUGGCCAAGAAACAAGACAUCUCUCAGUACUACCUCCCAUAAGCAGAUGCCACAGAGACUGCCAGAUUCAAAGUCACUCUUGCCCUCUAUCUGAAACAGCAACCCUUUGAAGAGAGCCCCUGGUCCCAUGUGUGUUUGCAGCUCCCUAUUUAUAAUCUGCAGGUUAUUCUAGCAACUAACAAUAUCAUUUUGGUAGUUACUAAGAGUAAUAAAGCACCCUCUCUGUCGUGAUCUGCCUAUUUUAUGACACUGGCUGGCUGGUGUCUCAUAGUUUAAUUACUUUAAGUCAAUCAUGUACAUUGUUAUGUUGAUACUACUAUUACUACCAAUAAGAAGCCUCAAGUAUUGAGGCCUAUGGGCUAAGGCACCAUACGUUAUUUCAAUAUUCCUAACAACCUUACAAGCAAAGUAUUGUUAUUACCAUUACAUGAACUUGAGUGCAAUGAGGCACAAGAAUGUUAAAGUUUGAAUGUUAGCCCUUGGUGGGGCAGGGCCUGGAACUCCAGCCAGUUUGAUUCCAGCUCCAGGUAUUUGACUCUGUACCAAACUACUUGGGGCUUUUAGAAAAAAAUCCUUGUAAGAAAAGGUGAAUUACAACACAUAAUAGUAUUUACAUUCUUCCUUUCUUAAAGUAUCAUUAGAAAAACUUGAUCAUUUUUCAUAAAAGACUUUAAAAAAUAGAUUGCCAACUCUCUUGCAUUGUUAAACAGAGACUCUUCAGGGCCAUCCCAGAAAGAGCAUCACAUUUUCUGGAGAAACCUGGGCUUUGGAACCAGCCAAAUCAGGGCUUUAAAGCUGAGCUUAUUGACUUACCAGUUGUGUGACCCUGAGCAAAGAUUUAACCUCUUGGAACCUCAAUUCACUCAUCUGUGGAAAAUGAAAACAAACAAUACUGACAACUUUGUGGCACUAUUCUGAUGAAGAAGUGAGAUGAUGUGUGUCAAGUACCAAGACGAAAAUAGCAAUUAUGCUCCAUUAUUGUGAGUCUGAGAUACAGUGAUUAUUUCCUUUUGCCUUAUGGAUUCUUUUGCUUUGAGAAAGCAAGAGAAAGAAAGAAUGGAUUUAAGUGUUCUAGUGUGAGAACCGGUCAGAAUGAAAUAGAUGGUUGCUGUUUGUUGUGAGCAGUCUGCAAAGUGAGAGCAGCACCCAGAAAGCAGGCGGGACGGACCGUGGCAUCCAACGCCCCUUCAGCCUCAGAAUAGUUUGCUCUGCAUAAAGCCAGCCGAGAGAUGUCUAUCCUAGGCAUUCGGGGCCUUGGGAUCCCCCAGCUAGUCUAUCUGAACACUGCUGGUCCCAGGAACCCCUCACAGUGGCAGGUCUGAGCUGGAGAGAAGGGCCAGGGACUUAGGGGAUGUGAUCAGAGGUCCUGCAGCAAGUCAAGUUCAGGGUAGUGAUGCACUUCUGGGUCCACUGGGUCACCUGUGCCUACUCCUGCUGUUCAAAUAGGGGAUGGUGACUUUUCAAGUUUCAUAGUUCAGAAAGUAUAUCAGAAGGGAGGCUUAGGGGCCAGUCUUAGUGUUUCUGUGAUCUAGCUGUGCGACCUGGGUUAAGUAGCUGUGCCUCACUUUUCUAUUCUAUAAAAUGGGCAUAGCAAGACCCAUGCACUGUUCUGUGGAGAGAAUAAAUGUGAGAAUGAUCAUAAAUGCACUCCAAAAGUUUAACACUGCUGAAACACUGCUCACCUUUUUGUCAUCCAUACUCCACCUGAUCCAUUAAAUAUGUUGUAAUGUAGUUCAUUGUUAUUAUGAUAUCAUCAACUAUUUUACAGGAUAGAGAAUAGGGACAAAAGAAAUUAAGUGAUUUGCUCAGGGUUGCAUGGCAAGUCGAUGCAGGGAGGGUUUCUGGCCUUGGAGGCUGUGCCUGCUCUUGCCAGAGCAUGGAGACCCUCCUGAAGCCGGCCUUGCACACUUAGUCAGCUGGCAUGCUCCAUGUGCAUCUUCCUGGAGCAUGUGGUCUCUUGGUGCUGCUCAUGGAAGCAGUUGCCUUGCACAGAUGUCUGAGAACUCUCGCUGUGGGUCUCACUCUGGAUCCUUGUGCAGUAACCCUCCCCUAAUCUUUCCCAUAAAUAAUGAUGAGCCAGACCCUGACUUUCUCUUUGACUGGCCCAUCUCCCCAGUUACUCCCUCUUCCCUAUAGUGCACAAACUAUGAAAAAUUACAGUUCAUUCACACUUUAGGCCCUGGGUAGCUGAAUCCAGUGCCUUCAACACUUAGCCCUCUUUGUUCCUCCACCGCAACCCAACCUGCCUGCACCCUCUUUGUGUGUAUAUGUGUGUUUGUGUGUUUCUAUUUAACUAAUAAACUUUAUGCUUUAGAGCUGUUUUACGUUCAUGGCAAAACUGAGUGGAAAGUACAGAGAGUUGCACAUAUCCCCUGUUCCACACACCACCUUCUUUUUUGAAGCUAUGAUAACAAUGCAACUUUCCUAACGGGCGCUUUGUACAUGGAAGGCUCCUUCCCAAUUGAACUGCCAUAGCACAAUGCAGUAAAGACUCUGUAACAAUAGCUGAUGUACUGCACAUUACAAUUCUAAUCAUAUAUUUUAUUGGAAGCUGUAUACCUCUUAGAGCCAGCAUUUCAUUUGCCUCCUUUGCCUUAUAGAAACACUGCUGCUGUGACAACGGGCAGCAGUAAAGCUAAUGGUCUUUUCCAAAUUCCUUCUUAGAUUCAAAGGGAGAAAAAGUGUGAAGGAGAGGGAAAGAAAAAAAUCACACAGUCAUUUCCAGCUAUUUGUGUUAAAAUACAAAGAAAACAGGGCACAUUCAAAAAUGGUAUGCCGGGAAGCCUCCAUUAAUAUUUAUUUUGGCAUUAAUAUUGAUAAGAAAGUACUUUGUAGCUGGGCUUUGUUGCCUACCCCAGUAUCCUCAAGCUCCCUGUUAUUCAAGCUGGUGGCCAUUAGCUUGCGUCUUCCUCUGUACCCAGAGCCUCUGAGAGACUUGGCGGGCCUCCAGCUCACUUACGCUUAAAUGGACACUCAAGCUCCGACGGACACACAGCUAAAUAGAGGCCAAUAAUUCAAUACAGUAUGACUGUACUGGGGCUGCUAGUAAAUCCAUCAAGCAGUAAAUAUCAUCUGAAGCCAAUGCAAGCUUUUAUCUUUCCAAUUUUUUUGUAUGUCUGAGCGAAGCCCAGGCAUUCAGCGAAUCAUGUAAUUUAUUCUGCAGUGCCGAGCCUGGGCUGUCUCAGACAUCAUAUUGACUUUUUUUUUCUCCCAUCUGUCAGGGGCAGUCAGCAGCUCUGCUAUUGUGAGAGCGCAUCACAUUACAUCUAUUUAUUUAUUUAUUUCCGCUGCUUCUUUGUAGCAUGAUUGGGCAAGAACGCAUUAUCUCAGAUCAGCGAAUACUAAGAAAAGCAUCUGAACAUCAUUACGACAGCAUGUUAAACAUUUGUCCUACCCAGUUUGUUAAAUCAGCAAAUGUAUUUCCAGCAAAUGCUUGUAAUUGUUCAUAAAGGGCUCCCUACUGCAGGGUUUUACUAAGCUGAAAAUAUGGCCUGUUAUUUUCUUCAGCUCUUUAGGUCAGCGGUGAUUCCAAUAUAUUGUAAAUAAUGCUGAACAGCUGGUGUACUGACUUGGUGUGUGUGUGUGUGUGUGUGUGUGUGUGUGUGUGCGCCUCUGUCUGCAUAUGCAUGUGUCUGCACACAACCACACACCUGGCUAUAGCUCUGCAUGUUGCACACAUAUUUUGUGCACAUGUAAAUGAUUGUAUAGGUCAAUGCGGUAUAAAGUACUGUAUAUGGCCAGGCAGGCCCAACACUUUGGGAGGCUGGGGUGGGAGGAUUGCUUGAAGCCAGCAGUUCAAGACCAGUCUGGGCAAGAAAGUGAGACCCCUGUCUCUACAAAAAAUAAUGUAAAAAACGUAAUUAGCCGAGUGUGGUGGUGUGUGCCUGUAGUUGUAGCUAUUCAGGAGACUGAGGUGGGAGGAUCCCUUGAGACCAAGAGUUUGAAGCUGCAGUAAACUAUGAUCGUAUCACUGCAUUUCAGCUUGGGUGACAGAGCGAGACCCCAUCUAAAAAAAAAAAAAAAACAGUGCUGAAUAUUAACUUCACAAAGUUAAUGAUUAGGUUAUGGUUUACAAUGGUUAGAGAAUGUCCUGCUUCCUAAUCAAUCAAAAUUUAGCCUGAGAACAAAGCUCUUUUGGUUACAGUUGCUGUCUUCUUGAAAACUUAAAAAGUGUAGCUCCUAAAUUUAAAUGUUAUUUAUGAUUCUCUUGCUCUUCUUCCUGUAUAAACUUCAAAUCGAAGAGACAAAUAGGAGGAAGCCCCUCUUUUCACAGUGGGGUUUGAGACUGCUACUGCUGGACAGAGCCAUCAGACAUCUACUGAUUGGAUGAUGACACCCCAAGUAAGAUGCUUCCCCCUAGGAUACCCCCCAAAGCAACUAACUCUUUCUCAAAAGCCAGGUGUGCUUCUGAGACUCAUCCUGAUUGACUUGAUUCCAUUUGAAUUUGAUUCAUGUCCUACUCUAGAUGCAUGCAUCAAAGAAAAGUGUUUUAGAAGUUUCUUGAUUUUCUUUAAUAGGCAUCAUAAAUGUACUUCACAGAAACACCAAUGCAGGAUAUGCAAAUGGAGCCGGACUUAGAGUCAGCCAUGUUGUUUGCCCAACUUCUCUUUACAAACAAUGUUUAAAACCAAAAAAUCCCACACCUUUUUAUAAAUGACUGUAAGUAAGGCCGUUGAUAUUUUGAGAAGCAGUGAAAUCGACAUUGUUUUAAGAACUUGGCUCUUCUGUAUACGUAUGAUCAAUUUUUAAAAAUGGCAUCCUAUUCCUUUGGAUAACUGCAUUCAUUGAAAAAAUACUUGUGGUUUGUACUUGAUAAAGAAUAUCUUUCUAUGGACUGAUUGUGAAAAAUGACUUUGUAUUUUAUACUCCAUUAUUAGUGUCACCACCUUAGAAAAUAUCAAAUUGGCUUUCCCAUCUACAUCUGACCAGGAGAAUCUGGGUAAACAUGAGUUUUAUUCUAAGAUUGGAUAGAAUUAUGGCUCACAUCCUUGGGUGCAUAGUUGGGCACACUCUCCCUCUCCACACAGCAGAGAGCAUCAAUGCAUAUGUUUAAUUUCCCUUUAUUAACCUCCAGUUAGAAAGUCCUGCACAGUACAUGCGGCUUUUAGUAUUCCAAAGAGCAGACACACUGUCUUUCUAAAAAAGCAUAUUAAAAGGCAACUCACUGAGUCAUUUUCUAACACCUGAGAGCAAUUAAUGUAAGCAGAGACAGGAAACAUCAUCAAUUAUUUAAAAUAAAAUGAAUAUGUAAUGCUGACCUUCUCCAACUGCCAUCAGUUUUAUACUUACACCUGAAUCAACUCAGGGGAACAUGAAACCCACAAGGCACUUCACACUGCAAUCUGCAGAGAGGCAGGCGCUGGUCACAGGGAAAGCUGCCUGGCUGGCUAUGUUCACCCCUGAGAGGGAGGUGGAGAAGCCCCCGAUACCUGAUGAGGGAAAACGGAUCCUCCAGCUCCCUGAGUGCAUCACCACCUGGGACCAGCAACUUUAUGUACAAACACUCCUGGCCCACCAGUCUUUCCCAAAUAUUUUCACUUGUUUCCAAAUUAUUUUAUAUUCCUACCAUCUUAAGGAGGAGGGC